UGCUCCGCAUGAUCCCCGCGUAUCAGGAGCGAUUUCUCGAGCCCUAAAUGUCCGAUUUCUUUCGGGAUUCUAACCUCAACUUUAGUGCUUGAUAUCUCGAUUCUCGGGGCAGAUCGACAGUUUUUUCAGUUUUUUCUACCAGAUUCGUUCGUUUCAUGUGAAAACGCGUUGAAUUAGUCUAAUUUCGCCACAAUCGGAGAUGCUGGGAUAUUUUGAAUAGUUACCAUUAGCCAUUACCUUUUCAACUUUCAUUUUUUAAGUUUUAAGAAAUAAUCUAAAAAUUAAGGCCGUCAAAGCGUUAAAGCAAACGAUCGACUUGGUCGAUCAAAUUUGUUGUCAAUCUGCUAGCAGUUUGCUUGAAAGAUGCAUAUGUAGAAUUUAUUUUUAUAUUUUUUAUUGAUCCUGCAGAAAAUUACAAAAUUGAACAUUAUUCAAGUUAAAUGAUAUUCUUUCUAAAUUAUAUUUAGAAGUUGAUUUAGUUAAUUCUUAGUUAAAAAAUUGGAAUGGUUAAUAUAAAUGAACUACAUCUUUUUUCGUGCAACUAAGUAAUUGUUGAAUCAACUCAAUGUUUAGUUGUGCGUAUCUGACUAAAUAUUUUAGUUUUACAACCAAUUUUUUUCUCAUUGCAGAUAAUAUUUAUAUGACUAACACUUAUUAUCGGCUAUCUCGGUUGUGGAAUGGUUCCAAUGGCAUACUCACGAGUAAACAUGCCGAACAGAAAAUGAUAUCCAUUUUGAGGAACAGGUUCCCACAAGCUCAACUGAUUAAAGUUGUAUUGCCCUUGUAUCAGGAGGAUGCGAUGCCAUGCUUGACAUAAAUGUUGUUGCCCCAAAAUUCAAGGGACUGAAUACCAUGAAGCAACAUCGAAUUAUUAAUGAGGACCUUAAGGAAGAUAUCAAAGACAUUCAUGGCCUCUGAAUACGUACGAGUAUCCCGUAGGCGUAAAUUUUAUAUUUUGGACGAUUGUUAAAUUAUUUUUAUAGAGGAAAUAUGUUAAUAUACUGAUUUUAUUGAAUCUAACGAUGGACAUCCGAUUUCCUCUUUCAAAAGUUUUGGUCAGGAUUUUCGAAACAGUUUUGAAUAAUUUAGAAUUUCUAGAUUUUCUUCCCAUAUUCAAAAUAAUUUGUUGUAAAACGAGUUUAUUAUUGGAACUCUAUAUUUAAGAUUUGGAGAUCAUGCGCAUGUUAUAUAUAUAUUUUAUAAGUUGUAAAUUUAAACAAUGAUAUAUGUGACAUGGUUUAAGGAAUAUAUUUCUUACACCAUGAUAUGUGGUAAAAAUAGAUUUAUAAAAAAUAUAAGUGAAAUAAGAGUAAUAUUGGAAUAAUUAAGGAAAUGUGAUUUUUCUUUUCAUAUUCACAGUCUUUAGUUGAAUGAAUAGUGAUAAACUAUUCAGAAAAUAAUUUAAAACUUAAAUUUUUAAUAAAAAAGCAAAAUACAAGCUAAUACAAUUUUUUAAUUUUUGUGAUACUUUACUGUAACAAUUGCUUCAUAUUUUUGGUUUCUCUAAUAUAAUACGGUCUCGGAAUUUUAAACGAUUAAAAUACACAUAUAUGUAUUCUUACUUGAUUUAUUUGAAU
Molecule: long non-coding RNA, 1577 nt
Organism: Solenopsis invicta (red fire ant)
Lineage: Eukaryota; Metazoa; Arthropoda; Insecta; Hymenoptera; Formicidae
Exons: 4
Source: RefSeq, a predicted model, not a curated record